This 76-nucleotide transfer RNA is filed under the name Pseudomonadota bacterium. RNAcentral describes it as "Proteobacteria bacterium tRNA-Arg". It matches the Rfam family "tRNA". Rfam says of the family: Transfer RNA (tRNA) molecules are approximately 80 nucleotides in length. Their secondary structure includes four short double-helical elements and three loops (D, anti-codon, and T loops). Further hydrogen bonds mediate the characteristic L-shaped molecular structure. tRNAs have two regions of fundamental functional importance: the anti-codon, which is responsible for specific mRNA codon recognition, and the 3' end, to which the tRNAs corresponding amino acid is attached (by aminoacyl-tRNA synthetases). tRNAs cope with the degeneracy of the genetic code in two manners: having more than one tRNA (with a specific anti-codon) for a particular amino acid; and 'wobble' base-pairing, i.e. permitting non-standard base-pairing at the 3rd anti-codon position. The record is from RNAcentral. RNAcentral also lists the same sequence under 1 other name. Lineage: Bacteria; Pseudomonadati; Pseudomonadota.
GCCCCCGUAGCUCAGUGGAUAGAGCAACGGAUUCCUAAUCCGUUGGCCGCAGGUCCGAUUCCUGCCGGGGGCACCA